This 468-nucleotide ribosomal RNA is filed under the name uncultured bacterium. RNAcentral describes it as "partial 16S ribosomal RNA". It matches the Rfam family "Bacterial small subunit ribosomal RNA", at positions 28 to 507 of the family's 1533-position model. The record is from RNAcentral.
GACGAACGCUGGCGGCGUGCUUAACACAUGCAAGUCGAACGGAAAGGCCCUGCUUUUGUGGGGUGCUCGAGUGGCGAACGGGUGAGUAACACGUGAGUAACCUGCCCUUGACUUUGGGAUAACUUCAGGAAACUGGUGCUAAUACCGGAUAGGAGCUCCUGCUGCAUGGUGGGGGUUGGAAAGUUUCGGCGGUUGGGGAUGGACUCGCGGCUUAUCAGCUUGUUGGUGGGGUAGUGGCUUACCAAGGCUUUGACGGGUAGCCGGCCUGAGAGGGUGAACGGCCACAUUGGGACUGAGAUACGGACCAGACUCCUACGGGAGGCAGCAGUGGGGAAUAUUGCACAAUGGGCGGAAGCCUGAUGCAGCAACGCCGCGUGCGGGAUGACGGCCUUCGGGUUGUAAACCGCUUUAGCCUGUGACGAAGCGUGAGUGACGGUAAUGGGUAAAGAAGCACCGGCUAACUACGUG